UUGGAAGGUCAGAUGGGUUCUUCUCCAAAAAACUGAUUCAGACUUCUCAAGCAAACAGAUGGGUCAGACACGGACGAUUCGCUCUGUUUGAUAACACCGCUGCUCGCAGGUUUACUGUUCUCAUUACUGGACUGAUGAUGGAAGACUCUGGAUUGUACUUAUGCGGUGUGGAUAUUAAACUACAGACUGAUCCUGUUUCUGAAAUAAAAAUAACAGUAAGGAAAGGUAAAACCCAGAGACCCACAACACCACCAAGAGUGGUAAUCAGCAGUUUGCACAGUCCUACAAAUAUCACCGCACAGAAUCAGGCUCAUAACAAAAAC
Molecule: non-coding RNA, 323 nt
Organism: Paramisgurnus dabryanus
Lineage: Eukaryota; Metazoa; Chordata; Actinopteri; Cypriniformes; Cobitidae
Source: RefSeq, a predicted model, not a curated record